This 65-nucleotide small RNA is filed under the name Sinorhizobium meliloti 2011. Its description in RNAcentral is "putative ncRNA". Lineage: Bacteria; Pseudomonadati; Pseudomonadota; Alphaproteobacteria; Hyphomicrobiales; Rhizobiaceae. The record is from RNAcentral.
GCCGAAGACCUGAUUCUUGACAGCCAUGAUCGUUUCGAACUGGUUCUCGGGGUCGGUAUGGAACG